GACGAACGCUGGCGGCGUGCCUAAUACAUGCAAGUUGAGCGCUGAAGGUUGGUACUUGUACCAACUGGAUGAGCAGCGAACGGGUGAGUAACGCGUGGGGAAUCUGCCUUUGAGCGGGGGAUAACAUCUGGAAACGAAUGCUAAUACCGCAUAAAAACUUUAAACACAAGUUUUAAGAUUGAAAGACGCAUUUGCAUCACUCAAAGAUGAUCCCGCGUUGUAUUAGCUAGUUGGUGAGGUAAAGGCUCACCAAGGCGAUGAUACAUAACCGACCUGAGAGGGGGAUCGGCCACAAUUGGACUGGGAAACCGCCCAAACUUCUACCGGAGGCAGCAGUAAGGAAUCUUCGGCAAUGGACGAAAGUCUGACCGGACAACGCCGCGUGGAUGAAGAAGGGUUUCGGAUCGUAAAACUCUGUUGGUAGAGGAAAACGUUGGUGGGAGUGGAAUGCUCAUCAAGUGACGGUAACUACCCAGAAAGGGACGGCUAACUACGUG
Molecule: ribosomal RNA, 497 nt
Filed under: uncultured bacterium
Lineage: Bacteria
Description: partial 16S ribosomal RNA
Rfam family: Bacterial small subunit ribosomal RNA
Source: RNAcentral